CAGAGCCUGGGGGAGACAGUCCAGCACUCCGGUCUCAGGCCUGCGGGGUCCCCAGCUCUCUGGCGGCCACCUCCAUGGCCCAGAUCCCAUGACCCCCACCCACAUUCCCACUCUCAGCGCCGAGAGAAGCCCGGAUGAGCCCAGACCUUGCGCGAGAUGCGUUCACAGCCGGUGCCUCCGCUCAGCGCUCAGCGCUCACCCACAUUGCAACUGUCCGAAAUUAGACACCUUCACCCGUCCCGGCAGCGGUGCCAGCGCGUCCCUAGCUUGAGAGGCCAGACGCGUGUUGUCGGCGCUAAUGCCCACUGCAGCUGAAUGUGGCUCUCAGAAUGAAAAGCGCGUAGUGAAGAUAAAAUCUCCCCUGCUCUGCAACGUAAGAGGAAACAGCAAAUGGCUACGGAGAUGGAUUGCUUUCUCCCGCUUCCUUGGCUCAUCACACCUCGGGCUGCUGCGGAGCCUGCCCCUCCACACCUGCAGACUCCAGGCACAGGAGCCGGGGGCCAAGGGCAGAAAGCAGGUCUUUCCUCACUCAGAGAAAAGAGCGUGGGCCAGGUCUGC
RNAcentral lists this long non-coding RNA (558 nucleotides) under Chinchilla lanigera (long-tailed chinchilla). RNAcentral describes it as "lncRNA (ENSCLAG00000028704.1)". The record is from RNAcentral. Lineage: Eukaryota; Metazoa; Chordata; Mammalia; Rodentia; Chinchillidae.